Molecule: ribosomal RNA, 472 nt
Filed under: uncultured Comamonadaceae bacterium
Lineage: Bacteria; Pseudomonadati; Pseudomonadota; Betaproteobacteria; Burkholderiales; Comamonadaceae
Description: bacterial SSU rRNA
Rfam family: Bacterial small subunit ribosomal RNA
Source: RNAcentral
AGAGUUUGAUCCUGGCUCAGAUUGAACGCUGGCGGAAUGCUUUACACAUGCAAGUCGAACGGCAGCACGGGGGCAACCCUGGUGGCGAGUGGCGAACGGGUGAGUAAUACAUCGGAACGUGCCCAGUCGUGGGGGAUAACGUAGCGAAAGCUACGCUAAUACCGCAUACGAUCUACGGAUGAAAGCGGGGGAUCGCAAGACCUCGCGCGAUUGGAGCGGCCGAUGGCAGAUUAGGUAGUUGGUGGGGUAAAGGCUCACCAAGCCUGCGAUCUGUAGCUGGUCUGAGAGGACGACCAGCCACACUGGGACUGAGACACGGCCCAGACUCCUACGGGAGGCAGCAGUGGGGAAUUUUGGACAAUGGGCGCAAGCCUGAUCCAGCCAUUCCGCGUGCAGGAUGAAGGCCUUCGGGUUGUAAACUGCUUUUGUACGGAACGAAAAGGCUCCCUCUAAUACAGGGGGCUCAUGACGG